RNAcentral lists this small RNA (26 nucleotides) under Bombyx mori (domestic silkworm). RNAcentral describes it as "ovarian small RNA-22161". Lineage: Eukaryota; Metazoa; Arthropoda; Insecta; Lepidoptera; Bombycidae. The record is from RNAcentral.
UAGAUUAAGGGGGCUAGAUUGAUUAC